RNAcentral lists this transfer RNA (73 nucleotides) under Gemmatimonadota bacterium. RNAcentral's name for it is "tRNA-Asn". It matches the Rfam family "tRNA". From Rfam's summary of the family: Transfer RNA (tRNA) molecules are approximately 80 nucleotides in length. Lineage: Bacteria; Pseudomonadati; Gemmatimonadota. RNAcentral also lists the same sequence under 2 other names. The record is from RNAcentral.
UCCGGGGUAGCUCAGUGGCCAGAGCGGGUGGCUGUUAACCACUAGGUCGAGGGUUCGAAUCCCUCCCCCGGAG